This 653-nucleotide ribosomal RNA is filed under the name Neophysopella vitis. RNAcentral describes it as "partial large subunit ribosomal RNA". It matches the Rfam family "Eukaryotic large subunit ribosomal RNA", at positions 10 to 646 of the family's 3401-position model. The record is from RNAcentral. Lineage: Eukaryota; Fungi; Basidiomycota; Pucciniomycetes; Pucciniales; Crossopsoraceae.
AUCAGGUGGGAUUACCCGCUGAACUUAAGCAUAUCAAUAAGCGGAGGAAAAGAAACUAACAAGGAUUCCCCUAGUAACGGCGAGUGAAGAGGGAAAAGCCCAAAUUUGUAAUCUGGCUCUUUUAGAGUCCGAGUUGUAAUUUUGAGAACUGUUUUCAGUGCUGGACCAUGUUUAAGUCUGUUGAAAAACAGCAUCAUUGAGGGUGAUAAUCCCGUUCAUGAUAUGGACUACCAGUACUUUAUGAUACAGUCUCUAAGAGUCGAGUUGUUUGGGAAUGCAGCUCAAAGUGGGUGGUAAAUUCCAUCUAAGGCUAAAUAUAGGUGAGAGACCGAUAGCAAACAAGUACCGUGAGGGAAAGAUGAAAAGAACUUUGGAAAGAGAGUUAACAGUACGUGAAAUUGCUGAAAGGGAAACAAUUGAAGUUAGCCUUGUUAUUGUCAGUUCAGCUCUUUUAGAGUGUAUUCUGAUGAUUAACGACCAACAUCAGUCUUUGAGUGCUGGAUAAGGGUUUUGGAAAUGUAGCAGUCUCGGCUGUGUUAUAGUCCAUUACUUUGAUACAGUGCUUGGGAUUGAGGAUCGCAGUAAGCCAUUUUAUGGUGGACCAAAUUUUUGGUCUUCUUACUGAGGAUGUUGGUGAAAUAGCUUUAAAAAUG